Molecule: ribosomal RNA, 1512 nt
Filed under: Triticum aestivum (bread wheat)
Lineage: Eukaryota; Viridiplantae; Streptophyta; Magnoliopsida; Poales; Poaceae
Description: partial small subunit ribosomal RNA
Source: RNAcentral
AUGGAGCUGGACUACUCGCAAGGCGGCGUGCUGCCCAGCUUUGACUUCGCGAUCGAUUCGGUCAACUUCUCCGACCGGAAGCUGCAUAUAGAGAUCGUCGCCGGUGACCACGCGCUGGGUUUCGGCGGACACGUCGGCGGAGGAUCCACUGCCGACCAGGCGCGCCGCGGCGAGGAGAAAGUCUUGGUUGCUUGUCCGGCAGAGUCGACACUACUUGGUGAUGACUCUUCCUCAAUGAUGGUGGGUACACCAGUUUUACGAGAAAAAACCAUUCAUAUCAAUUCAGCGAUUCUUGCUUCAAGAAGUCCUUUCUUUCUGAAGUUUUUCUCAAAUGGCAUGAAAGAAUCUGAUCAGACGCACCCAACAAUUAGGAUUGCUGAUACAGAGGAAAAUGCCCUUAUGGAGCUUUUAAGAUAUAUCUACAGCGGAAAGUUGACAACAACGGAGCCCAGUCUAUUGCUCGACAUCUUGAUGGCUGCAGACAAAUUUGAGGUUCUCUCUUGCAUGAGGCAUUGCAGUCAGUUGCUCAGAAGCUUGCCUAUGACCACAGAAUCUGCACUGCUUUACCUAGACCACCCUUGCUCGGCCUCAUUAGCAGCUGAGGUCGAGGGUGUGAUAGGCGUAGCCAAGGAAUUCCUUGCCAACAAAUACAAUGAUUUUGAUAAGUUCCAGCAUGAACUGAUGAACUUCCCUCUUGCUGGGAUUGAAACCAUCUUGUCAAGUACCGACCUACAAGUAGCGUUGGAAGAUUGCAUAUAUACCUUUAUACUCACAUGGGCGCGGGCACGAUACCCAGAAUUGGACGAAAGACGUGAGAUCUUGAGUUGUCGUUUACUUCCACUGGUUCGCUUCAGUCAUUUGACAUGUCCAGCACUAAAGAAUAUCCUAGCACACGCUGAUGAUGAUAUUGACCAUGGGCAAGUAGCUAAGCUUAUCGCUGAGGGACUUCUGCAAAAAGCUUACCCAAAACAGAUGGAAUGUGCUCUUACAGCAGACGUAACAACCUGUCGGCAAUUUACUGAACGAGCUUACAAGUUCAAACCUGUGAAGUUGGUUGCUUUUGAUCGACCCUGCCCACAGGUUAUAGCUUACCUGGAUGUAACGCGCGAGGAGUGCUCCCAACUCUUCCCGUCUGGAUAUGUAUGGUCGCACAGCUUCCGGCUUGCAAGGUGGAAGGGGGGCAUUUUUUUCAACCCAGUCUGUACAAUGAACAAGCAGAGUAAGUUGUGCACCUUUGGUCUCAAGUUAAUGGGAUUCAGUGAUAAUCAGAAGGUCUCAACAGUUUCGACAGUAGUAGAUAUUGAGUUUGCUGCAAGGACAAGAUCGUCAGGGAAAUUUGAGAGAAAGUACAGGAGUAAGGGCACCUUCACCGGUGAUUGGUCGGUAAAAUGCGAUGAUCUUUUUGGCGUUCCAUGGUCGAUGUUCAUUGCCGAUGAAGACCUCUUCAUUGACGGUGUCCUGCAUCUGAGAGCUGAUUUGGCGGUGGUCCGGCAGCCGCAGUUACACGCUUGA